RNAcentral lists this transfer RNA (72 nucleotides) under Heterocephalus glaber (naked mole-rat). It matches the Rfam family "tRNA". From Rfam's summary of the family: Transfer RNA (tRNA) molecules are approximately 80 nucleotides in length. Their secondary structure includes four short double-helical elements and three loops (D, anti-codon, and T loops). Lineage: Eukaryota; Metazoa; Chordata; Mammalia; Rodentia; Bathyergidae. The record is from Rfam by way of RNAcentral.
UGAAGUGUUGCUCAAUGCUAUAGCACUUGUCUAGCACGCACAAGGCCCUGGGUUCCAUCCCCAGCACUGCAA